This 431-nucleotide ribosomal RNA is filed under the name uncultured bacterium. Its description in RNAcentral is "partial 16S ribosomal RNA". It matches the Rfam family "Bacterial small subunit ribosomal RNA", at positions 29 to 507 of the family's 1533-position model. The record is from RNAcentral.
AACGAACGCUGGCGGCAGGCUUAACACAUGCAAGUCGAACGCCCCGCAAGGGGAGUGGCAGACGGGUGAGUAACGCGUGGGAACGUACCCUUUUCUACGGAAUAGCUCUGGGAAACUGGAAUUAAUACCGUAUACGCCCUACGGGGGAAAGAUUUAUCGGGGAAGGAUUGGCCCGCGUUGGAUUAGCUAGUUGGUGGGGUAAAGGCCUACCAAGGCGACGAUCCAUAGCUGGUCUGAGAGGAUGAUCAGCCACAUUGGGACUGAGACACGGCCCAAACUCCUACGGGAGGCAGCAGUGGGGAAUAUUGGACAAUGGGCGCAAGCCUGAUCCAGCCAUGCCGCGUGAGUGAUGAAGGCCUUAGGGUUGUAAAGCUCUUUCACCGAUGAAGAUAAUGACGGUAGUCGGAGAAGAAGCCCCGGCUAACUUCGUG